GCAGGCUAGAGUCUCGCUCGUUAUCGGAAUAAACCAGACAAAUCACUCCACCAACUAAGAACGGCCAUGCACCACCAACCACCAAAUCGAGAAAGAGCUUUCAAUCUGUCAGUCCUAAUGGUGUCCGGACCGGGUGAGUUUUCCCGUGUUGAGUCAAAUUAAGCCGCAAGCUCCACGCCUUGUGGUGCCCUUCCGUCAAUUUCUUUAAGUUUCAGCUUUGCAACCAUACUACCCCCGGAACCGAAAGACUUUCGUUUCCGGAUAGCUCCUCGGCAGGGCAAAAACCCUCCGAAUCGCGAGAUGGCAUCGUUUACGGUCAGAACUAGGGCGGUAU
Molecule: non-coding RNA, 334 nt
Organism: Caenorhabditis elegans
Lineage: Eukaryota; Metazoa; Nematoda; Chromadorea; Rhabditida; Rhabditidae
Source: Ensembl